Panicum hallii is the source of this 136-nucleotide small nucleolar RNA. RefSeq annotates it as small nucleolar RNA Z247. The transcript has a single exon. NCBI's taxonomy places the organism in Eukaryota, Viridiplantae, Streptophyta, Magnoliopsida, Poales, Poaceae. The record is from RefSeq and is a predicted model, not a curated record.
CAAGUCGACGAUGAUGAGAUGAUCUUGUUCAUCCUGAACGGGCUUGACUACGACUACAACUUGUUGGUGUCAUCUGUGAUGGGCCGUGCCGACAUGAAGCUGAGCGAUCUCUAUGCUCAAGUCAUUGCCUUCGACA